AACGUAGGGGACAAGCGUUAUCCGGAUUUACUGGGCGUAAAGCGCCCGUAGGCGGCCUGUCAAGUUGGACGUGAAAGCUCCUGGCUUAACUGGGAGAGGCCGUUCAAAACUGACAAGCUAGAGUCUGGAAGAGGAGCGUGGAAUUCCCGGUGUAGUGGUGGAAUGCGUAGAGAUCGGGAGGAACACCAGUGGCGAAAGCGACGCUCUGGUCCAAAACUGACGCUGAGGGGCGAAAGCGUGGGGAGCGAACGGG
Molecule: ribosomal RNA, 253 nt
Filed under: uncultured bacterium
Lineage: Bacteria
Description: partial 16S ribosomal RNA
Rfam family: Bacterial small subunit ribosomal RNA
Source: RNAcentral